Molecule: ribosomal RNA, 516 nt
Filed under: uncultured bacterium
Lineage: Bacteria
Description: bacterial SSU rRNA
Rfam family: Bacterial small subunit ribosomal RNA
Source: RNAcentral
GACGAACGCUGGCGGCGUGCCUAAUACAUGCAAGUCGAGCGAGCUUGCCUAGAUGAUUUUAGUGCUUGCACUAAAUGAAACUAGAUACAAGCGAGCGGCGGACGGGUGAGUAACACGUGGGUAACCUGCCCAAGAGACUGGGAUAACACCUGGAAACAGAUGCUAAUACCGGAUAACAACACUAGACGCAUGUCUAGAGUUUGAAAGAUGGUUCUGCUAUCACUCUUGGAUGGACCUGCGGUGCAUUAGCUAGUUGGUAAGGUAACGGCUUACCAAGGCAAUGAUGCAUAGCCGAGUUGAGAGACUGAUCGGCCACAUUGGGACUGAGACACGGCCCAAACUCCUACGGGAGGUAGCAGUAGGGAAUCUUCCUCAUUGGACGAAAGUCUUAUGGAGCAACGCCGCUUUAUUGAUGAAGGGUUUCGGCUCGAAAAGCUCUGUUGGUAGUGAACAAAGAUAGAGGUAGCAACUGGCCUUUAUUUGACGUUAAUUACUUUGAAAGUCACGGCUAAUCAC